CGCAAGCCUGACGGAGCAAUACCGCGUGAGGGAGGAAGGCUCUUGGGUCGUAAACCUCAAAACUUAGGGAAGAAGCAAGUGACGGUACCUAAUAUAAGCAUCGGCUAACUCCGUGCCAGCAGCCGCGGUAAUACGGAGGAUGCGAGAGUUAUCCGGAAUCAUUGGGCGUAAAGAGUCUGUAGGUGGCACUUCAAGUCUGCUGUCAAAGACCGAAGCUUAACUUCGGAAAGGCGGUGGAAACUGAAGAGCUAGAGUAAAGCAGGGGUAGAGGGAAUUCCCAGUGUAGCGGUGAAAUGCGUAGAGAUUGGGAAGAACACCAGUGGCGAAGGCGCUCUGCUGGGCCAUAACUGACGCUCAUGGACGAAAGCCAGGGGAGCG
This 378-nucleotide ribosomal RNA is filed under the name uncultured cyanobacterium. RNAcentral's name for it is "bacterial SSU rRNA". It matches the Rfam family "Bacterial small subunit ribosomal RNA", at positions 376 to 770 of the family's 1533-position model. Lineage: Bacteria; Bacillati; Cyanobacteriota. The record is from RNAcentral.